UACGGAGGAUCCAAGCGUUAUCCGGAAUCAUUGGGUUUAAAGGGUCCGUAGGCGGUUUGGUAAGUCAGUGGUGAAAGCCCAUCGCUCAACAGUGGAACGGCCAUUGAUACUGCCAGACUUGAAUUAUUAGGAAGUAACUAGAAUAUGUAGUGUAGCGGUGAAAUGCUUAGAGAUUACAUGGAAUACCAAUUGCGAAGGCAGGCUACUACUAAUGGAUUGACGCUGGUGGACGAAAGCGUGGGUAGCGAACAGG
RNAcentral lists this ribosomal RNA (253 nucleotides) under uncultured bacterium. RNAcentral's name for it is "partial 16S ribosomal RNA". It matches the Rfam family "Bacterial small subunit ribosomal RNA", at positions 524 to 776 of the family's 1533-position model. The record is from RNAcentral.